Long non-coding RNA from Aedes aegypti (yellow fever mosquito), 832 nucleotides. RefSeq lists it as uncharacterized. The transcript has 2 exons. Lineage: Eukaryota; Metazoa; Arthropoda; Insecta; Diptera; Culicidae. The record is from RefSeq and is a predicted model, not a curated record.
AGCAUUUUAGGCCGAUCAGUUUGUCAUCCGUGAUGCUUACACUCAAAAAAAUCCAAACGUUAUUGGUACGUGGUAAAUCACGUACAUCAUUCCAAAUUCAUUUUGCCUCCUAUUCACCUGUCUAAGGUAAUGCUUACUAGAGCAUGUAUAGUUACCAAAUGCUGACCCGAUGAUUGUUACUGUGGCUACCAAUCGCACUUACGUGAAAUUCACGUAGGCUCAUGAAUUUAUUUGGGCAUCUGCAUUUCGUGUUCAUUCUCUCUUGAGUUCAAAUUUAAAGAUGGUGGUCGCAAGUUUCUCCAGGAGCUGCUGGCCUUCAAAAUAAUUGAUUUCAAGAUUACGCAACGUUGAACAGCAAGUCCAGCCAACCUUGAAGAGAAACCCGACAUUUUUUAACGGAAGGAGACUUGGACAAUCUUGAGAAGAACGUACCUUUGUUUUGAUGGAAUGUCACCGUGUCAGUCAGUGUGUUGCUGAAUAUUUUAUUGGAAAUAAUGAUAAAAUAUAAUAAAUAGUUUAAUCUGUUGAGUGUUUUUUUUUUAUUUGAGGAGCUACUGCAUUGCAUAAGCCAAUGCAAAACAGAAUUAGUUUCUAUGCAAUUAUUCUGAUAUCAUUUAAUGAAUAACCAUUUACGAUUUAUUGAGACGCUUCGUAAAAGCUACGUGGAAAUUCAUGUAGCUGUGACGUGAAACUUCGAUGGAUCUGAUAAGGUCCAUUUGUUCAUGCGUUCAUUCAGUGCUACUUAUGAUCCACGUAAGUGCUACGGGAAAAGUGGGAUGGAAAAAAAAACCACGUACGUUUUCACGUAACAAUGGCGUUUGGAUUAUUUUGA